RNAcentral lists this unclassified non-coding RNA (309 nucleotides) under Zea mays. RNAcentral describes it as "misc RNA Zm00001eb147360". The record is from RNAcentral. Lineage: Eukaryota; Viridiplantae; Streptophyta; Magnoliopsida; Poales; Poaceae.
CUGAGUACCACCGCCACCGCCACCGUGCAUGUCGCUAGGGCCGCAUCUCUCGAUGUUAGGGCCCAACCGAACAUCGUCGUCGCCUCCACCUCUGCGUCUGGGCCACCGCAAGAGUUUAGGGCUCCUCCGGGGUUCGAGAUCAUGUCCGACCAGCAGAGCAGCAUCCUCAGCACCAUGCUCGACAACCCCCUCCACCUCGGUACUGGCGUCUUCGCCCUCGGAUUCACUAAGACGAUGGCGCGUCUGCGGCAAGGAGCUUCAGAUUCACUGCCAUCAGAAACUUGCAGGUUGUCUGCGCUCUUCUCUUAG